RNAcentral lists this ribosomal RNA (408 nucleotides) under uncultured bacterium. RNAcentral's name for it is "bacterial SSU rRNA". It matches the Rfam family "Bacterial small subunit ribosomal RNA", at positions 355 to 776 of the family's 1533-position model. The record is from RNAcentral.
UCGAGAAUCUUCCGCAAUGGACGAAAGUCUGACGGAGCGACGCCGCGUGGAGGAUGAAGUACUUCGGUACGUAAACUCCUUUUGCCAGGGAAAAAGUUAUUGAUUGUACCUGGAGAAUAAGAGGUUGCUAAACUCGUGCCAGCAGCAGCGGUAAUACGAGUGCCUCAAGCGUUAUCCGGAAUUAUUGGGCGUAAAGGGUGCGUAGGUGGUGAUGUUAGUCUUUUGUUAAAUCUCCCGGCUCAACCGGGAACUUGCAAGGGAAACGGCGUUACUUCGAGGACGGAAGGGGUCUCUGGAACUCAUGGUGUAGCGGUGAAAUGCGUUGAUAUCAUGGGGAACACCAAAAGCGAAGGCAAGAGACUGGUCCGCUCCUGACACUGAAGCACGAAAGCGUGGGUAGCGAAUGGG